This 490-nucleotide ribosomal RNA is filed under the name uncultured Alphaproteobacteria bacterium. RNAcentral's name for it is "bacterial SSU rRNA". It matches the Rfam family "Bacterial small subunit ribosomal RNA", at positions 38 to 572 of the family's 1533-position model. Lineage: Bacteria; Pseudomonadati; Pseudomonadota; Alphaproteobacteria. The record is from RNAcentral.
GGCGGCAGGCUUAAUACAUGCAAGUCGAGCGCCCGUAGCAAUACGGGAGCGGCAGACGGGUGAGUAACGCGUGGGAACGUACCCUUUGGUUCGGAACAACACAGGGAAACUUGUGCUAAUACCGGAUAAGCCCUUACGGGGAAAGAUUUAUCGCCGAAGGAUCGGCCCGCGUCUGAUUAGCUAGUUGGUGAGGUAAUGGCUCACCAAGGCGACGAUCAGUAGCUGGUCUGAGAGGAUGAUCAGCCACACUGGGACUGAGACACGGCCCAGACUCCUACGGGAGGCAGCAGUAGGGAAUAUUGGACAAUGGGGGCAACCCUGAUCCAGCCAUGCCGCGUGAGUGAUGAAGGCCUUAGGGUUGUAAAGCUCUUUUGUGCGGGAAGAUAAUGACGGUACCGCAAGAAUAAGCCCCGGCUAACUUCGUGCCAGCAGCCGCGGUAAUACGAAGGGGGCUAGCGUUGCUCGGAAUCACUGGGCGUAAAGCGCACGU